Molecule: ribosomal RNA, 484 nt
Filed under: uncultured bacterium
Lineage: Bacteria
Description: partial 16S ribosomal RNA
Rfam family: Bacterial small subunit ribosomal RNA
Source: RNAcentral
AUUGAACGCUGGCGGCAGGCCUAACACAUGCAAGUCGAGCGGAUGAAGGGAGCUUGCUCCUGGAUUCAGCGGCGGACGGGUGAGUAAUGCCUAGGAAUCUGCCUGGUAGUGGGGGAUAACGUCCCGAAACGGGCGCUAAUACCGCAUACGUCCUGAGGUAGAAAGUGGGGGAUCUUCGGACCUCACGCUAUCAGAUGAGCCUAGGUCGGAUUAGCUAGUUGGUGGGGUAAAGGCCUACCAAGGCGACGAUCCGUAACUGGUCUGAGAGGAUGAUCAGUCACACUGGAACUGAGACACGGUCCAGACUCCUACGGGAGGCAGCAGUGGGGAAUAUUGGACAAUGGGCGAAAGCCUGAUCCAGCCAUGCCGCGUGUGUGAAGAAGGUCUUCGGAUUGUAAAGCACUUUAAGUUGGGAGGAAGGGCAGUAAGUGAAUACCUUGCUGUUUUGACGUUACCAACAGAAUAAGCACCGGCUAACUUCGUG